UUUUUUUUUUUGUUUUUUUUUUUUUUUGUAUUUGGAACUAAGAUCAGACUUUUAAAAGGCUCAUCCAAGAUUAAACAGUAAUAAAAGACAGGACUGAGCCAACAAUUCAAAACUUUUUAAUUUAGAUGUUUGAUUUUCUUUCUGUCAUGCCCAAGUGCUUCCUGGAAAUUAAAAUUGAAUAUAAUAUGUCCAAAUAUACAUCAUAAAAUACUGGAAUUGGGAUACUACUGCAUAUAAUCUUAUAUUGUUUAAUCAGUUAUGUAAGAUUUUAUUAGAAGAAAACCAGGUAUUCUAAAAAGGGUUCUUAUUCCCAGAAAAAUGAAUUUCUAUGACUAACCUAAAAUCUUCAAAAUGUAAAGUUGAUCUAAAGUAAAUGAGAUAUACACAAAAGUUUUUGUUGAAUUUCUGAAACCAAAAUCUGUCAAAGUAGCAGAACAUAAGUAUGUUUUAGACUCUAAUAUAUAAAAUGGGAGAACUACACCAAAGACAAAAAUAUUAAAAACAAAGCCAAAAAUGCCUCAUCCCAGCUCUGCCAAUCCAUGUCUCUGUUACCUAGUGUAACUCAGUUUUUUAGUGUUGCUUUUAAUAACUCUACAAGGUUCCCGUAUGAUUUCCACUAAGUUCAAAUAUGCACAAUUUAUAGUUUGAAACAAUCACCUAAACUACAUAUAGACUAGGCAAUAAUGCUCUUAAGCUAUCAUAUCAUGGAAAUUUCUCCUUUGUUGGGAAAAAUGAUACUCUCCAAUGCAUAUUUGUUUCCAACAUAAAGUCUCUUGGAAUUCCAAGAAGGGUUUUUUUGGCAAUCCAUGGCUAGUUUUGCCUCAUAUUGCCUACUCUCCUUUCUCUUACCCUUCUUUCUUGAAGUCCAAGUAAAUAUUAAUUAUGACUCACUUAUCUAGGUCUUCUGAAGGGAGUUGGUGACACUAUAGUCUUUCUUUGGCUGCCACCUUGAGAUCCAGGGGUCCUCAGCAUCUUUGAAUAUUUUCACCACUACUAUAUGGGCACAUAGAGGCAGCAUCAACAAAAAGCAUAAUUGGGGAUAUAUGCCACUUUUAUACUUUGGAUUAUAUGUCCCAUCUUAUAAUAUUUGAAUCAGUAUUCACUUCUAGCCAUUCAACUUUCAAACAGAUAUGUUCUAUAUUAAACAACAAUAAACAAUAUCCCCCUUCCCUUUUAUCCAAAGGAUUUGGGAGAAAUAAAAUAUAAUGCACAAUAUACAUAUAAUUUGUGAUAAAUAUGAUAAUGAACCUUAUCUUAUUCUGCAUUUUUGGACCUGCAGAUGUUCUGCAAACUAAAUAUCUUGAAUGAGUAUGUAAAAGUUCCCAUUCUAAGUUCUUCGCAUUAUUCUUCCCUUUCCUCUGGACAGUCCUACCCAAGUAGCUCAAGCAGACUAGAAAAGACAUGCAUUAUUUAAGGGAAAAAUUUUAAUGAAAAUUUCAAUUAUUCAAAUAUUCUCAGCCUGUUAUUGAUGUAAAUGGCAUGUAAUCAAGCCAUGCUAGUGAAAUAAAAAGAAAAUUAAUUUUAAAAUGUUUUAUUAUUGAAAUUUUAUUUUAAUUUUGAGUUAUCAUAUGGAUUUUAUUUAACAACUAAGUAUAAAUUCAAUCUCUGAGUAGAUAUUACCUAACAAAUUGAUAUUUAUGUUCCUAAACUCAUCUCUAAAAUAGAGACCAGAAGACAGAGGGAACUAUUCUUUUUAGAGGUUGUAAUGAAUUCAAACAUAUUCAUUAAUUUUAUAGCAGUUCUUUCAGUUUCACAGUGAAAUAUAAAAAGGCCUAUCUUAUUGGAAAGAAUACCAAGUAGCUAUUUUGACACUUGAUGAAGAGAGAUUUGUUCUAUUGUUUUAAAUGCAUGGGUGCUAAAGCAAGACUUAGAAAUAUUUUUGUUAGACAGUUUCAUUCUAAUAGUAUAUUCUAUAACAGAAAUGACCUAUAAGUAAAAUAAUUCAAAAUAUCCUUUCUUCUGAAGGUGAUCUCCAUAUAAAAUGUGAACACAAUUUAAAAUAGCACAUUACUAUGAUAUGAAUUUGAAUGACCUUUGAAGGAAUAAUUUUUCUACUAAUGUUAAAAAUUUGAUAAUAUAUAUUUUGUUAAAGUGGUUUGGUCAGUGUUCCUAUAUGAUCGACCUCAAACCAUCAGUGUUUAAAUGAACCAAAGUACUUAAUUUAUUUUUUAUGAUCAUCCUAAGGGAAUUAUAUACCUCAUGUCAAAUAUGACUUAAUAAGGUAUACUAUAUUAAUCAUACUAAGUUAGAAUGAGAACCAAGGUUAUCUUGGUAGGAGGGUGAUAUAAUGCCUAUAAAUAACUGAUUAAAGUACACAGGAUAUCUCAUAAAAUGCAAAGUGUACCUUUUAAAGAAACAUGAAAUGAUUUUCCUUCUAUAGAAAGCCCUCGACAUUAGUUUGGAGCUAUAUACUAAUAUAAUUUAAACUGUUAACUAAAUGGUUAUUAGACAGUUGAGAAAUAUCAAUAUAUUCAACAUAAUAAUUCAAAUAAUAAAUGUAUACAUCCAAAUAUACCAUCAAAAGUUGAAGAUGCCAAAUUAUAAAAAAUAAUAACCAAAAAAAAAUGAGUCAUUCAUUAGAAAACAUCAAAAUGUUAUGGAAUUGUUCCAUAAAGGGAGGUCCAUCAAUGAAAAUUAUAUAUUUAAAAUAAUUCUCGCCAUUUAAAAUCUGCAAUGCAAAACAGUAAAAAAUUGGGAAAAUAUAUUACUGAGAAAAAGUGCAAAUUGCUCCCUCUCUUCAGCAUAUACUUUAACCCAAUAAUUUUCUACCCCUAGACAUAUGUAAAAUGAAAAUAAUUGAGUAUAUGCACAAAGAUAUAUAAGCAUAUUUCUAGGAGCAAUAUGCAUAGUACUCAAAAUCGAUGUCACAUUAAGGCAGGAGUACCAAGAUUAAGGUGGGCUGGUGACAAUUGUAACUGGAAUUAUCAUAACCUAUGUAGGUGAAACAAUAGCUUUUUUGCAGACCAUCACUAUUGUGAAGCAAUGUUGCUCCACUAUUUCUGAAACUUCCAUAUGUUCAAAAGGAGGAGAAAUUUCUCAAUAUUUUUAAAAUACAAGUAUUGAUAUCAAAGUCAGCUUUUAAAACAUUGUGAUCAGUAACGACAAAAUACAUCAUUGGGACAAAUUCAACCUGAUACCAAGUUGCAACAUUAGAUGUAAUGGAACUGUUUAUACUGGUAAAAUCAUGGUAUUAUAGAAAAAUAUUGGCAUUAAAAUAUUCAUAGUAAUUUAUAAAUAGCAGAAGUAGUCUAUUUUAGUUAAAAUAAAAAUGAGCUUGCCAAAGAAUUAGAGGCAACUAGAAAUUAACAGGAAUAUCUUUCAAUGGUAGGAUUGAUGAAAUAUUUUUCCUACCUCAAACUAAGCUGGUAGGCAGCAAGGAAAUUAUCAGAGUCUAGGAAGAAGGUGAACCCUAAUACAUGGCAUUGAAACAUUGUGGACUGAGGUAACCUGGGAAGUAGAGCUGUACCUAAUGAAGUUCUAACAUUGGUAAACAUAGGUAAGAAUACAGAAUAUUAGUAUUGUAUGACAGGUGAUGCCUGAUUUAGAGAAGUAUUACAAGAAAGAGAUGACAUUGGAAAUAAAUGGCCAGUUUGCAAGCAGGAAAGCAAAGGAAUAUAUUUCACAAAGAUCAUUUUUUUUUUUUUGUCUUUUUGCCAUUUCUUGGGCCGCUCCCACGGCAUAUGGAGGUUCCCAGGCUAGGGGUCUAAUCAGAGCUGCAGCCACCGGCCCACGCCAGAGCCACAGCAAUGCAGGAUCCAAGCCGCGUCUGCAACCUACACCACAGCUCACGGCAAUGCCGGCUCAUCAACCCACUAAGCAAGGGCAGGGACCAAACCCGCAACCUCAUGGUUCCUAGUCGGAUUUGUUAACCACUGCGCCACGACGGGAACUCCCAAAGAUCAUUUUUUGAGAUACAUCUCCCCAUAUUUCUCACUCCAAAUAUGGCUGUUUAUUAUGGAUAUCCAGUCCCUGUUUCAUAUUAUAUAUUGAUUACAAGGUAGAGGAGAUAGAUUUUAUUUUUAAGCCUUAGAUCAAGGGGAGAGCCCCCCACAGAGACUUAACAUUACUGAACACUCAUAUUAGUAAUACUUUCCUUAUAAAAACAUAUAAUCCCUACAAUUACUGCAAACAAUGAAAGACUCUGAAGUAAUACAUGGUUGUGGUCAUGAAAGUCCAGUUGUGUACCCAUAUGUUUAUUGUUGAGAAACUGCAACAUAGCAAAAGACUAGUGCAAUAGAUCAAUGAGUGUCAGCGGAAUUAUAUCAUUAAAUAUUUCACUGACAUAAUCAGUUAGUUCCAUGGCAGGACAAUCCACUGCAUUUACAUUCUCUUUCUAAUAAUUAGUGCACAUAUAUUAAGAGAAAUGUAUUGAUUCCAUAUUGUUUCAGAGUGAAAUUGUCUAAUAACUUCUUUGGUACUCUCUUUUAAUUCUUAUCCUCCUAAUUAUCUGUCUGAUAAUGACCAUUUAAAUUGAGAAAGCUCUGAUUGCAUUACAUCUUUUAGUUCGCAGUGGCAGCGGGUAAAACACUUAGGCUGAAGAUCUAAGGUUGGAGGCUCAACCUGAGAGACAAAUUUCUCUUUCACAGUAAUCAGCUUUGAGAACUGAACACAAUUCUAUGACCAUAUUUUCCAUCUAAACUUGUAAGUUAAUUUUACUCUAACUUUUAAUCAAUGCUACUGAAGGUCCACUGUUUUGUUCUGAAAAAUAAAGAAGGGACAUGUAACUCCUAUAAAUGUAGUUCUAAUGAAAUCAGGAGAGGACGUCAUAUCCUUAUUAAAAAAACACAUUUCUAAUAACUGUGAUUUUACUUCAGAUAAUUUUCAACGGGUACAGUGAUGUAGCAUAGACACAAUUCCAGAAUAAAGCCAGGUUUGUUGUUUGUUUGUUUGUGACUGCAGAGCUUAAAAAAACAAAAACAAAAAACAAAACUGUAGUUACUCAAGGCCAAAAAAUGCUGAACAUCAGAAAAUGUACCAUAUCUCUGUUAAUCUGUUUUGUUUCAUUGUUUUAUUUUUAACUGAACUAGUCACUCACUAGGAACAUUCACUUAAGCAAAACUUUUCAUUUAUCCAUUUAUAGUAUUAAAGAAGGUGUAAUUUGUUGUAGUGUUUUGUCUGUGAAUCUAUUUUCCUAACUCUGGAAAACAUAACAUUCUGAAGUGUCCUAAUAACAAAAAAAAAAAAAGAAGAAAAAUUUCAUUUUCCUUUCUAUUUAAAUAUGUAAAAAACACAUAUUCCAGUUUAGGAUCAUGUUAAACAUUUUACUUCUGUAAGAAAGUAUUUGUAUAUGAAUAAAACUAUCAAGUGGUCAUAUCUGAUAUUGACCUUUCCACCACUUUCCUCCCAAAUACUUGUUCAAAACCUUUGCCUUUAAAGAGUCUGAAUUGUGUGUCAAGAACUGCCAUAAACAUAUUACUUGAAUUAUCUAAUCAAAGUCUUCCAAUACUCAUGAGGUAUUAGCAGUGAGGAAACUCAACAAAGCAAACAAACUUUAAGGAAAAAUGUCCACCUUCAUAGCAGCUAAACAUUGGAGUUAAACUACUGAACUUGUACCAUUAACUACUGUUUUGUACUGACUUUAAAAGGUCUAGAGGGAGAUCAAUCCAUUAGAAGCCAUGAUCUAAUGAGGAGAACAUGGUUUGACCUCCAAAACCCCAAUCUGGAUGAAUACACAUAAAGAGAACAUGACUAACAAGAU
This 5698-nucleotide long non-coding RNA is filed under the name Sus scrofa (pig). Its description in RNAcentral is "lncRNA (ENSSSCG00000059269.1)". Lineage: Eukaryota; Metazoa; Chordata; Mammalia; Artiodactyla; Suidae. The record is from RNAcentral.